Molecule: long non-coding RNA, 741 nt
Organism: Dreissena polymorpha
Lineage: Eukaryota; Metazoa; Mollusca; Bivalvia; Myida; Dreissenidae
Exons: 3
Source: RefSeq, a predicted model, not a curated record
GUAAAACGCAGAACACAGAACACUUUGACAGACAAAGUGAUGAAGGAUAAAUAUUGAAGAUAGUGUCGAUAUGAUUUAUGCCUUAAUGAACUUCUAGUUGUAACUUUACUGGAUAAGCUGCAACACAAUCGACGUAAAGUUAGAGAUUACACUCAGAAGCCACGUUGAAGUAUCUUCUUGCGAAAUGACGAUCCCAUCAGAAACAAUAAACACCAAGACAACAAGUAUGGCUGAAGCGGCUCGUUCACAUCACACGUGCACCACGUGCAAACAGAGACCGAAAACCAUGUUACUUCUGCCAUGCAGCCACCUGGCGGCCUGUGAACAAUGUGUCGCCGACAUGAGCUGUUGUCCGAUGUGCUCUAGAACUGUCAGCUGCGUAAUACGGACGUUUAUCAUUUAAUUGGUUCAAAUAUCAAAUAUCAAUUUAUCGUGAAACUUUGUAUGUGGAAUGAUACGUUUUUAUGGUAGAGAAUCUGGUUGUUUUACUGUGUGUUUUUUUCCAGUUCAAUACAAGGUUUAUGUAUGUGUUGACAACUUCUUUUAUUGUAUCAGUUUGUAAAUAUAAGUAUAACACAUAAAUUCAUAAGUAGAUUCUUGUCAAAACGUAAACACCUUAAAUGACUGUUCAAUAGAUUUGUUCACAAUAUAGUGUUGAUAAACACAAUCCUGAAGUCUCGAUGAAUAAUAUAAAUUAUAAAUUUAAUUAUAAUUGCACGUAUUGGACUUUUAAAUGAACAU